This 73-nucleotide transfer RNA is filed under the name Stephanopyxis turris. RNAcentral's name for it is "tRNA-Met". It matches the Rfam family "tRNA". Rfam says of the family: Transfer RNA (tRNA) molecules are approximately 80 nucleotides in length. Lineage: Eukaryota; Bacillariophyta; Melosirophyceae; Stephanopyxales; Stephanopyxidaceae. The record is from RNAcentral.
UGCAAAGUAGAGCAAUGGUUAGCUCGUCAGGCUCAUGCCCUGGAGGUUGAAAGUUCGAAUCUUUCCUUUGCAA